RNAcentral lists this ribosomal RNA (468 nucleotides) under uncultured bacterium. Its description in RNAcentral is "partial 16S ribosomal RNA". It matches the Rfam family "Bacterial small subunit ribosomal RNA", at positions 28 to 507 of the family's 1533-position model. The record is from RNAcentral.
GACGAACGCUGGCGGCGUGCUUAACACAUGCAAGUCGAACGGAAAGGCCCUGCUUUUGUGGGGUGCUCGAGUGGCGAACGGGUGAGUAACACGUGAGUAACCUGCCCUUGACUUUGGGAUAACUUCAGGAAACUGGGGCUAAUACCGGAUAGGAGCUCCUGCUGCGGGGGGGGGGUUGGAAAGUUUCGGCGGGUGGGGAUGGACUCGCGGCUUAUCAGCUUGUUGGUGGGGUAGUGGCUUACCAAGGCUUUGACGGGUAGCCGGCCUGAGAGGGUGACCGGCCACAUUGGGCCUGAGAUACGGCCCAGACUCCUACGGGAGGCAGCGUUGGGGAAUAUUGCACAAUGGUCGGAAGCCUGAUGCAGCAACGCCGCGUGCGGGAUGCCGGCCUUCGGGUUGUAACCCGCUUUCGCCUGUGACGAAGCGUGAGUGACGGUAAUGGGUAAAGAAGCACCGGCUAACUACGUG